Molecule: long non-coding RNA, 198 nt
Organism: Nematolebias whitei (Rio pearlfish)
Lineage: Eukaryota; Metazoa; Chordata; Actinopteri; Cyprinodontiformes; Rivulidae
Exons: 3
Source: RefSeq, a predicted model, not a curated record
GAGAAGCAGCUGGGUCUGCGUCCGUGUACAGCUGAGUCCCACAGGAGGCCUGGUGGUCCGGAGCAGGGGGUGGGUCGACCUGAACCCCCUCCCCAGGACAGGAAGCAUGAGGGACAGCUGGAGUAUCUGCGUCAGCUGGAUGUGAUCAGACUGCAGUACCACCAGGAGAUGAGACGGAGGAGACCGAGAGCUGAAGCA